This is a long non-coding RNA of Tarenaya hassleriana, 816 nucleotides long. RefSeq lists it as uncharacterized. The record is from RefSeq and is a predicted model, not a curated record. NCBI's taxonomy places the organism in Eukaryota, Viridiplantae, Streptophyta, Magnoliopsida, Brassicales, Cleomaceae. The transcript is spliced from 2 exons.
UAUUUGGAAAGUAAAUAUCCGAUUCUUAAUUGUUAGAAGUUUGGAAAGUAGAUUAAAAAAAAUGUAAAUAUUAGGUUUAAAAGGAGAACACGCCCAAAACCUAGGAGAAUCAUGUUUCUAGAAACCUCUGUUCCCGUUAGAGACUCCUAUAAUCCUUAAAGCCCGACUCCACCUCUGUCCGUUCCGUUUAGUUCUAAGAUUCAAAAUUCAGACUGUCUGAUCUCCAAGCGCUUUCACCUGUUAGAACCUCUCCCCGCCUCGACCCCGCUGCCGGUCUAAUCACCAGCCUUCUAGCCUCUGGGGCAGUUGCUUGAUGGAGGUCUGUCUUGAAAAGUUGCAUGAACUGAAGAGCCAUUCAGGUAUGGGGAGCUGCUCCUUUCUUUGGUUUCCACGACAUUUUUGGAUAGCAAACAAACCGGCUCCUUCAAUUUUGAAUCAAUCAGUCUACUCUUUGCUUUGCUUGUCAUUGUGGCAGCAUGGUGGGUGACGAUAACAGUUUACUAGCAUUGCCUGCAAAGAAAAAGAAAGAGAAAAAUAAAGGCACUAUAGAGGUGCUUUAAGCAAAGUCUGGAACAAAUUUUCGGGUUUUUCUCCUUUUCUUCUCUGUUGAACAGUACUAGAUUUUUUGUUUGUUUAAAUUGUGCCGGUGGCCGAGCAGCUGGAUUCAAAGGAAAAUACGAGAUUGAGCAAAUCCCAGAAACGGAAACUAGAGGUCCUAUUGUUAUCCUGCCUGCCCGUGUUGAACCUCGUUAGCAUUUGUCACAGGAAGAGAAGAAGAACAAAAUUCUGUUUGCGAAAAGCCCUGAGAUGUUAGAG